Molecule: non-coding RNA, 139 nt
Organism: Gossypium raimondii (Peruvian cotton)
Lineage: Eukaryota; Viridiplantae; Streptophyta; Magnoliopsida; Malvales; Malvaceae
Source: Rfam
UAUUAAAAAAUCAUCUAUUUCUAUCAUUAAAAUUGGCAUAUUUGGUGGAAUAAUCAGACAGUUAUACAUGGCGUGCCACACCUCAUGCUAACUUACAAAAACUGGUUUUUAACAAUAAAAAUAAAUGGAAUUUUUAAGA